CUGCGGAAGGAUCAUUGUCGAAA
RNAcentral lists this ribosomal RNA (23 nucleotides) under Xanthostemon chrysanthus (golden penda). RNAcentral's name for it is "partial 18S ribosomal RNA". Lineage: Eukaryota; Viridiplantae; Streptophyta; Magnoliopsida; Myrtales; Myrtaceae. The record is from RNAcentral.